This 494-nucleotide ribosomal RNA is filed under the name uncultured bacterium. RNAcentral describes it as "partial 16S ribosomal RNA". It matches the Rfam family "Bacterial small subunit ribosomal RNA", at positions 28 to 507 of the family's 1533-position model. The record is from RNAcentral.
GACGAACGCUGGCGGCGUGCUUAACACAUGCAAGUCGAACGGUGAAGCGCCUUCCUUUUUGGUGGGUGUGGAUGAGUGGCGAACGGGUGAGUAACACGUGAGUAACCUGCCCCCUUCUUCUGGAUAACCGCAUGAAAGUGUGGCUAAUACGGGAUAUUCUGGGUCUGUCGCAUGAUGGGUUUGGGAAAGUUAUUGUUUCGGUGGGGGAUGGGCUCGCGGCCUAUCAGCUUGUUGGUGGGGUGAUGGCCUACCAAGGCGGUGACGGGUAGCCGGCCUGAGAGGGUGGACGGUCACACUGGGACUGAGACACGGCCCAGACUCCUACGGGAGGCAGCAGUGGGGAAUAUUGCACAAUGGGCGCAAGCCUGAUGCAGCGACGCCGCGUGAGGGAUGGAGGCCUUCGGGUUGUGAACCUCUUUCGCCAGUGAAGCAGGCCUGCCUCGUUUGUGGGUGGGUUGACGGUAGCUGGAUAAGAAGCGCCGGCUAACUACGUG